UGGGGAAUUUUGGACAAUGGGGGCAACCCUGAUCCAGCAAUGCCGCGUGUGUGAAGAAGGCCUUCGGGUUGUAAAGCACUUUUGUCCGGGAAGAAAUCGCACCUGAUAAUACCGGGUGUGGAUGACGGUACCGGAAGAAUAAGGACCGGCUAACUACGUGCCAGCAGCCGCGGUAAUACGUAGGGUCCAAGCGUUAAUCGGAAUUACUGGGCGUAAAGCGUGCGCAGGCGGUUGUGCAAGACCGAUGUGAAAUCCCCGGGCUUAACCUGGGAAUUGCAUUGGUGACAGAACGGCUAGAGUGUGUCAGAGGGGGGUAGAAUUCGACGUGUAGCGGUGAAAUGCGUAGAGAUGUGGAGGAAUACCGAUGGCGAAGGCAGCCCCCUGGGAUAACACUGACGCUCAUGCACGAAAGCGUGGGGAGCAAACAGG
RNAcentral lists this ribosomal RNA (429 nucleotides) under Bacillota bacterium. RNAcentral describes it as "Firmicutes bacterium partial 16S ribosomal RNA". It matches the Rfam family "Bacterial small subunit ribosomal RNA", at positions 355 to 776 of the family's 1533-position model. The record is from RNAcentral. Lineage: Bacteria; Bacillati; Bacillota.